AACAUGUAUGUUGGUCAAUGUAUACAACCUGAAAUCAAACAUUUGAAAUCCUUAGACAUUAGUGCUUGAUUGCAGUCUAGUUCUCAAUAGGGAUGGAAAGCAGCUCAGUGAUUUCCCACGCAGUGACGUUUUGGCUGUGAGGCCGCCAUGCUCGUGGACUGCGGAUGGACGUGUUCCGCGGAGUGUUAAGUGAGAGAGGCGGCGGUGGAGCUCAGAAAGGCCCAUAAGGUGUUCGAGCAGGUUGGGAAGAAGGGAAUUGAGGAGGGGUGGCUCCUCUGGAGGCCAAGAAAAUGAGGAUUUUGAGAACUGCCCCCCUUUUGUGAUCUAUGCUAUUCGGCGGCUUGUUCAUGGAGAGUCUUCUUCCGGAGAGUGUGCUAGACAAGGGUUUGCCCUGUGUCUUGCAGCCAAGGUUGGGAUAAUUCCUACUGUUAGUGUGGAAGUGUUGAAUCAGUGACGAAACUGAUUGAAUAUGAGUAAGGGUCAUGGCCAAGAUGGAGGGCGAGAUGCAAGGGAGUAUGGGUCACUGGAGAUAUCUGUGUGAAUCUCUGUAAAUCGGCUUCUCUUUUCCUGAAGAAGCCGUGUAAAAUCAAGUACUUGGAGCUCCUGGCAUGCGAGAGUGGUUUGAAAAUGCAACUGAUACUGGGGAUCCGGAUAUCUUUUCUUUGGUUUUAAAAUUGCAGGAAAGAUGACAUGGUUGGCAAACUAUUGCUGUCUGUUUAGUCAAACAGCUUCUUUGUCCGAGAUCAUCUUUCACACCUUGCUCCCUGCUUUGAGGAAGAACAAGAUUAACCAGAAGGGUGGCUGCUCUGAAGAAGUGACAAAGAAUAUCCGCACUUUCUGUGAGGUGUAAUCAAAGAGUCACUUCUUAUGUCAUCUCACAACAGGAAGCAUUUGGCAUCUGAUAUUCUACUACUCCUACCAAGGCUGUCAGUCUCAUGCAUUCAGACUCUUCUCUCUCCAAAAUUGGUCCUUGGGCUUGAUUGUAUCCUCGCAGAUUCACAGCAAUGGAAGAUUUGAUUGCAUUACAUGAACACAAACUGUAAAAGAGUUGGUUUCCGAAUUCAAAACUGGUUCUGGAUUCUUGUUAUUUGUGCAAAACUUGACGAGCUUGUUUGUUGAUGAAGGUGCAGUCACAGAUAAACCAUCAGACCAAGCCAGACAACAGAUGAAAAUUCAGAAAUGAAUAUCCCAGAGGAUGAAUCUCCUGCGAUGUCAGAAAAUGCAGGUCUCUUGAAGGAGUGGGUGAUAGGUACCAUGCCAUGUGUUUUAAAGAAUUUUAGACUCAAUUCCAGUGCGAAGUUUUUGCCACAUUCUGAACUAGUGAAAUUUAUAGAAGCAAAGUUUAGGGUACAGACAGAAAUUAUGAAGUUUUUGGCUGUUCAGUGAUUAUUCUCUGCAUCUCUAAGCAUUGAAGUAACAUCAUUUGAACUGCAAGAGAAGUUUAAAUGGCCAAAAGCAGCCACCUCGAGUGCUCUAUGCGGAGUGUGCAUAGAACUACUGAUGCAUUUUCUUAGGUGCUCAGAAAGGGGAAGUUUCACAUUUGUUGUCAAAUGGCCUUGAGCAUAAUGAUCUUGGAUCUUACUUUAUUUGUUUCCCCAGCACUUUGUGCAAUAUUUUUUCUGUUCCACUUUAUAGGCACUGAACAGUGAGGAUGAAGAGGCAUUUAAGAAAUUGCAAACAAUGGAAUCAAGACUCUCCACUGAGGUAUACAUUUAUUUAUUCAGCCCUUUCUGCAUAAUGUUUGAUAUGUGACACUGUGUGUUGAUUAGUAUUGAUCACCAGUUAAUUUAUCAUCACAAGUGUAAUACUUGAACAAUCUUUUACAGAUAAGUAAGAUAUCUGUACAAAAUAGGUUUACCAAACAAACUUUCUGAAUGAUUGACAACCAUUUAAGACACCAUGAGAUGGUGAUGUUGGUGAACUUGAGGCAAAUGUCAAUGGUUAUCAACCAUUUUGUAAAUCUAUUUUGUAAUACUAUUUUAUAAGAACAUCAUUAUCCAGUUGAGUUCUCUGAAGCUGCAUUGGAGCUUGUCAUAUGUUGCAAGAAGGCUUUACCGUAUGUGUUCUAUCUCAACAGAAAAUCAGGUGAUGACAAUAUAUUCUUUCCUGGCGCAAGCAUUUGUCAAUUAUCAUUCUGUGGAGAACAGUGAACAACUUGUGUAGCGCAUUGGAGCAAUUUUAUAGAAGAUAUUCAAGCAAAAGGUAUGUCCAAGAGGUGAGGACUUACAGCUUUUGACAUUGGAAACCCUUCUGGGGAAGAGUUUAAAAUCCUCAUCCUUUUCCCGGUGCAAAAUGUUCUCUGGCUCAAUAAUCUACAUUUUGCUGCUUAAAUUUCCUGGUUGGUGGUUGCUUGGUACUCUGUUAACAGUGAAGUUGGUCCUAGCUUUGUUAUAUUUUUACCCUUUUUUAUUAUGUUACGCUAGAGCUUGUUGAGCCGUUUUGUGAGGCAUUAAAUUCACAGUGAUAUAUUUAUUUCUAUUUAUUCACCAA
This is a long non-coding RNA of Dioscorea cayenensis subsp. rotundata (Guinea yam), 2490 nucleotides long. RefSeq lists it as uncharacterized. NCBI's taxonomy places the organism in Eukaryota, Viridiplantae, Streptophyta, Magnoliopsida, Dioscoreales, Dioscoreaceae. The record is from RefSeq and is a predicted model, not a curated record. The transcript has 5 exons.